RNAcentral lists this ribosomal RNA (500 nucleotides) under uncultured bacterium. Its description in RNAcentral is "partial 16S ribosomal RNA". It matches the Rfam family "Bacterial small subunit ribosomal RNA", at positions 30 to 523 of the family's 1533-position model. The record is from RNAcentral.
AUUGAACGCUGGCGGCAUGCCUUACACAUGCAAGUCGAACGGCAGCACGGGAGCAAUCCUGGUGGCGAGUGGCGAACGGGUGAGUAAUAUAUCGGAACGUGCCCAGUCGUGGGGGAUAACGCAGCGAAAGCUGUGCUAAUACCGCAUACGAUCUACGGAUGAAAGAGGGGGACCGCAAGACCUCGCGCGAUUGGAGCGGCCGAUAUCAGAUUAGCUAGUGGGUGAGGUAAAGGCCCACCAAGGCGACGAUCUGUAGCUGGUCUGAGAGGACGACCAGCCACACUGAACCUGAGACACGGUCCAGACUCCGACGGGAGGCAGCAGUGGGGAAUUUUGGACAAUGGGCGAAAGCCUGAUCCAGCAAGGCCGCGUGCAGGAUGAAGGCCUUCGGGUUGUAAACUGCUUUUGUACGGAACGAAACGGUGAGCUCUAAUACAGUUUGCUAAUGACGGUACCGUAAGAAUAAGCACCGGCUAACUACGUGCCAGCCGCCGCCGUAA